This is a non-coding RNA of Mucidula mucida, 80 nucleotides long. The record is from the annotation of a GenBank genome assembly. Lineage: Eukaryota; Fungi; Basidiomycota; Agaricomycetes; Agaricales; Physalacriaceae.
GGCCUUAUGGUCUAGUCGCAUGAUUCCUCGUUUGGGUCGGACAUUCGAGGAGGUCCUGGGUUCAAUUCCCAGUGAGGCCC